This 177-nucleotide long non-coding RNA is filed under the name Fukomys damarensis (Damara mole-rat). Its description in RNAcentral is "lncRNA (ENSFDAG00000027634.1)". The record is from RNAcentral. Lineage: Eukaryota; Metazoa; Chordata; Mammalia; Rodentia; Bathyergidae.
AUAUAUAACUGCUGUUCUACUGUAUAUGUUCUUUUGUAGACAAGACUCUUGCCUAAAGAGCCCAUCUGGAAGACAGGUGCUGUAGUUUGAAACACUUGGGAAGACUUGACUUCUGUGGAAUGAGAAAUAUGAAGCUGUCCCCUCCUCUGGCAAAGACUUAACCCCAGGUAAAACGUC